Molecule: non-coding RNA, 614 nt
Organism: Megalops cyprinoides (Indo-Pacific tarpon)
Lineage: Eukaryota; Metazoa; Chordata; Actinopteri; Elopiformes; Megalopidae
Source: the annotation of a RefSeq genome assembly
AUGUCCAGUAGGCGGCGGGCUGCAGCUACCGUCGCUGCUGAUUGUCAGAGCUCUACUGUCGGUUUAGUGCAGCAGGUUUUUGUGCGACCAGUUAAUCAGUUUGAAUCACUGUGGUGGACUUUCGGUGGGGGGACCAGACUGGAUGUCGGCAGUAACCGCCUCCCCACCCUCACGGUCCUGCCCCCCUCCGGCGUGGAGGUGAAGCAGGGAAAGGCCACGCUCCUGUGCCUGGCCAACAAGGGCUUCCCGUCAGACUGGACGCUGCGCUGGGAAGUGGACGGUAGAAGCAAGAGCUCGGGCGUGGCCGGGAGUGCCGGGGUCCUGGAGAAGGACGGCCUGUACAGCUGGAGCAGCUCCCUGACUCUCAGUGCGGACGAGUGGGCGAAGGCGGGGUCUCUGACCUGCAAGGCCACUCAGGGCUCCCAGUCUCCGGUCACUCAGACGCUGAGGAGAGCCGACUGUUCUGAGUAGGCCUGGUGGAGGCCCAGCUCUCACUCUCUGAUUCCACUGUUCUUACCCUGGUCUGCACUCAGCCUCUCUCCUGCUUACUGCUACACUGCUGUGUCACUGGCCUGGUGCUUCACCUCACCCUGUGUGUUAAUCCAUCCACCAGC